GGAGCGGCACCGUAGGCGGGGAUCCCCUCGGGGGUGCGGAUGUGUACACGGAGAUGAGGGAGGCAUUCGAGGUCUUCGAUGAGGGAGGCGUUCGGGGAGCUUCACCGUCAAUUUCACCGCUUUCCUAUUAGUAGGUCAGACCAAAUGCGCUCAGAAUAAAUGCACCAAGCAAUGAAUUUUGCGAGUUCAAUGGAUUGCCAGAGGUGGCAAACUACUGGAAACAGGUUAUCAAGAUUAAUGACUACCAGACCGAAUGCUUAUGAGGCUACAAAAGGAGCUCAUGGAAUUUGCAUUCUCACAAAUGUGAUGAGUUCAAGAGUUUGGACUACAAGAAGAUUUAUGAGAGCAGGCAGAAACCUACAUUCAUUUUUGGGACACCUUUGGUAGUGUAUCUUGUGCAGUGAUCACGGCGGUGCUGAAUCCACAUUCUCAUGAGGUCAUUUAAACUUCGAAAUGGUAGUAUAUCUCAAUAGUUAGGCGCCUUUAUCUUAUUUACAGGACACCUUUGGAAAAGAAAAGAGGAACCAAUCUUCACAGAUUCUGUUCCGAGCUCUCCUCUUUUCAAUUCUGCCUCCUCUCCAAGUUUUAAUGACAGAUCAACCAAAAUUAAGUACAACUGGACCAUUCAAGUCUACCGAAAAUGAAGUACAACGAGAGAGCCUUUUAUAUUGUGUGUUAUUAUUUUAUGACUUGAGCAUGGAAAGAAGAUUGAGUUGUGAUUUUUGCUGUGAAAAUUAAUAAUGGUGUGCGUGCUACAGAGAAGAUAUAUUGAUGUUGGUUGGUGUAUACUCGAUGAUUUUUCGGUUUGUAAGCAUUUGAUUGUACAAUUUUGUAAUGGCACUUGCAUCAAUCUAAAAUUAUUGGUCUCUAGUGUAUACCAACUUGAGAGGUACUUUGCAAAACGGUGAGAGUUCUCUUGUUGUAAUGUAUUUCAACACUUGCAAAAAUUGUAAACUCUCUAGUUCUAGUAGUUGUAAUGUAUUUCAACACUUGCAAAAAUUGUAUACGGAGUUGUAUCUUGAUUU
This is a long non-coding RNA of Asparagus officinalis (garden asparagus), 1025 nucleotides long. RefSeq lists it as uncharacterized. The record is from RefSeq and is a predicted model, not a curated record. The transcript is spliced from 2 exons. NCBI's taxonomy places the organism in Eukaryota, Viridiplantae, Streptophyta, Magnoliopsida, Asparagales, Asparagaceae.